GACGAACGCUGGCGGCGUGCUUAACACAUGCAAGUCGAACGGAAAGGCCCUGCUUUUGUGGGGUGCUCGAGUGGCGAACGGGUGAGUAACACGUGAGUAACCUGCCCUUGACUUUGGGAUAACUUCAGGAAACUGGGGCUAAUACCGGAUAGGAGCUCCUGCUGCAUGGUGGGGGUUGGAACGUUUCGGCGGUUGGGGAUGGACUCGCGGCUUAUCAGCUUGUUGGUGGGGUAGUGGCUUACCAAGGCUUUGACGGGUAGCCGGCCUGAGAGGGUGACCGGCCACAUUGGGACUGAGAUACGGCCCAGACUCCUACGGGAGGCAGCAGUGGGGAAUAUUGCACAAUGGGCGGAAGCCUGAUGCAGCAACGCCGCGUGCGGGAUGACGGCCUUCGGGUUGUAAACCGCUUUCGCCUGUGACGAAGCGUGAGUGACGGUAAUGGGUAAAGAAGCACCGGCUAACUACGCG
This 468-nucleotide ribosomal RNA is filed under the name uncultured bacterium. Its description in RNAcentral is "partial 16S ribosomal RNA". It matches the Rfam family "Bacterial small subunit ribosomal RNA", at positions 28 to 507 of the family's 1533-position model. The record is from RNAcentral.